RNAcentral lists this long non-coding RNA (643 nucleotides) under Helianthus annuus (common sunflower). RNAcentral's name for it is "hypothetical non coding rna". Lineage: Eukaryota; Viridiplantae; Streptophyta; Magnoliopsida; Asterales; Asteraceae. The record is from RNAcentral.
GUGAACCAGACGUCAAACAAGUGUACAAGGGACCAACUGAGCUACGAAAUGGUUUGUGAAAGAACCCAACCCGUUUUUCAUUUACCCUCAACCUAAAAACGCAUCUGCAGCCUUCUUCCCAACCCAACUCCACCCAAAACUCGAUCCCAGCCACCGACCACUCGGUUACGCGACGUUCGGUCAUCCCUAAGGUCCCCUUUAUGUUCGAAAUGAAUAGAGAAACCGAACCAACCAUUAAAACGUCUAUCCUCAUCCUUUAAUUUAUGAAUUUAAGGCCCUAAUUAAAACUCUUUUAUCUCCAUUAAAGAACACUAAGAGCACAUCUUGUGAUUUUAAUCAUUUCGCGAAAUUGGAUUCCCUAACCUAUAUCAUCUGUUUUUCUGAGCAAAUCAUACAAAACCCCACUGAAAUCUCUUCAUUUCAUCAACCACAUCUCGCGAAUUUAAUCGAAGAACAAUCUAGGGCUCGUAUCUUCCAUGGACGAUAUCUCCUUCAAUUCUCAACGUUUUCAGGUUUUCAAAGUUGGUGAUCAAGUGAUGUGGACACGUAGCAUGGGCCUUAGGAAAAUAAAUUGAAAUCUUGAUAUGUUUGUAUUGAACAAUGUAUGAACAAUUUUGAUUAUUAUAUGAUAUGUGACUAUUUA